UCUGACUGUAAUAAAGUAGCAUAAUUAGUUGUCAUUUAAUUGAUGGAGAGAAUGAAUGGUUACACGAAUUUUUCACUGUCUUAAAAAAAAUUUUUUAAAAUUGAAAUAAUAGUUAAGAUGCUAUUUAAAAUUGUAAGACGAAGAGACCCUAUAGAGCUUUACUAUAAACUUUUUUCUUAAAAAUAAUAAAAAAUUAUUAAAACUAGAAAGUUUGGUAGUUUAGUUGGGGCGACUGUUUUUUAAAAAUAACAAAAAUAAGCAAUAUAAUAAAUUUAUUUAUUGUAUAAUUAAACAAUUUAACAAUUACUAUAGUAGGCUAUAAUGACCCGUUAUUAUAAUAAAUAAUAAGUAACGAUUAAUUGAUAAAAGCUACCUUAG
Molecule: ribosomal RNA, 378 nt
Filed under: Hydra sp. SWL-2010
Lineage: Eukaryota; Metazoa; Cnidaria; Hydrozoa; Anthoathecata; Hydridae
Description: partial 16S ribosomal RNA
Rfam family: Bacterial large subunit ribosomal RNA
Source: RNAcentral